RNAcentral lists this ribosomal RNA (497 nucleotides) under uncultured bacterium. RNAcentral's name for it is "partial 16S ribosomal RNA". It matches the Rfam family "Bacterial small subunit ribosomal RNA", at positions 28 to 507 of the family's 1533-position model. The record is from RNAcentral.
GAUGAACGCUGGCGGCGUGCCUAAUACAUGCAAGUCGAGCGAACAGACGAGGAGCUUGCUCCUCUGACGUUAGCGGCGGACGGGUGAGUAACACGUGGAUAACCUACCUAUAAGACUGGGAUAACUUCGGGAAACCGGAGCUAAUACCGGAUAAUAUAUUGAACCGCAUGGUUCAAUAGUGAAAGACGGCUUUGCUGUCACUUAUAGAUGGAUCCGCGCCGCAUUAGCUAGUUGGUAAGGUAACGGCUUACCAAGGCAACUAUGCGUAGCCGACCUGAGAGGGUGGUCGGCCACACUAGAGCUUGAACACGGUCCAGACUCCUGCGGGAGGCAGCAGUAGGGAAUCUUCCGCAAUGGGCGAAAGCCUGACAGAGCAGCGCCGCGUGAGAGAUGAAGAUCUUCGGAGCGUAAAACUCUGUUAUUAGGGAAGAACAAAUGUGUAAUUAACUAUGCACGUCUUGACGGUACCGAAUCAGAAAGCCACGGCUAACUACGUG